CAGUGUAAAUCUUCAGGAAUUCUUUAUAGCUUAUCUGACAGUCAGGAUGUCCUUUAUAAUUAUAUUAGAACAGUUUCCGACUCUCCGUUACUGACUGAUCUAUGAUGAGAUUGAGAUGAUGUGCUUGCCUAAACACCCUAUCUACUUACACCAAGAUUCCCUUGAAAGUUUUGUAUUUAUGCUUCAAUUUGCCUUCAUUCUCUUCAUUACUUCAAUCUCUUCAAGUAAGUCUCACCACACCCCUUUGCUACCUGCAGAGCUGGAGGAAGGGUCUGGAGACCGUGCACUGCCAUCUAAAAUGUGUGCAAAGAAGAACACGUGCUUGAACUACAUCAUGUGACAGAGGAGACCAGAUCGGUCAAAAUAGCUGAAACAGAUGCUUUGCAGCUAAGAAAAGUUGAGGAUAUUGUCCCUUGAACAUCUCUUGCAGAUCCUUCCUCCACAGGUAAGCGAAGGGGUGGGGCGAGACUAAUGGGUAUGUUAAAUGGUGGGC
This 493-nucleotide long non-coding RNA is filed under the name Amphimedon queenslandica. RNAcentral describes it as "uncharacterized LOC109584848, transcript variant X1". Lineage: Eukaryota; Metazoa; Porifera; Demospongiae; Haplosclerida; Niphatidae. The record is from RNAcentral.